GGACAUUUCUCCUCCCCAGCCCCAUGGACACCCCUAUUGCUGUUAUGUUGUGUUUAUAGCUACAUGUUGUGAAUGAUUUAGUUGACUUUUUCUUCAAAUAUCGCUUAAUAAACAUGAAGCGUGACUGGACUAACUAGCUAGCUAACGACAGCAGCAGUUACCGUGGGGUGCGCGAGGAUGGGCGCCGUUGACUUUGCGGAGUGUCAUUAUUGUAACUUUUGUAACGUUUUUACACCGGUCAGAUUUCAAAUCAUUCAGAAGACGCACUAAUGCUGGAGUCCAAAGGCAGCAAACAGGGAGAAGCGGGCUGAUAAAUAUGAGGUUUUGACUGAUCGCUAACCCUACCAUCCAGCUGCUGAACAGGACCGGUACGUUGGCCCUACAUCCUUACAGUACACGAGGACGCACAUACAGUGCAGUGGACACAGUGCUUGCUUUGAGCCAGAGACUCUGCCUAUGGAGAUGGAGCUGCCUGUUGCGCCAACACAAGCUAGAGUCUCUAGAGGAAAUGUGGGAGAUGCGGCGUCUCCAAGACGAGGUCUACUGUCUCUCUCUGGCUGCAGACCAGGAGAAGGUUCUGUGUUCCUGCCGGGGGCGAUUGGUAUAGCUUACCGCGUUCACUGGCUGUUUGGCCGGGCGGCCAGCUCGAGGAAGAGUCUUCGUGGUUCCAAACUUCUUCCAUUUUAGAAUGAUGGAGGCCACUGUGGUCUUGGGACCUUCAAUGCUGCAGCAAUUCUUUGGUACCCUUCCCCAGAUCUGUGCCUCGAAACAAUCCUGUCUCGGAGCUCCACUGACAAUUCCUUCGACCUCAUGUCUUGGUUUUUGCUCUGACAUGCACUGUCAACUGUGGGACCUUAUAUAGACAGGUGUGUGCCUUUCAAAAUCAUGUCCAAUCAAUUGCAUUUACCACAGGUGGACUCCAAUCAAGUUGUAGAAACAUCUCAAGGAUGAUCAAUGGAAACAGGAUGCACCUGAGCUCAAUUUCGAGUCUCAUAGCAAAGGGUCUGAAUACUUAUGUAAAUAAGGUAUCUGUUUUUUAUUUUUAAUACAUUUGCAAAAAUGUCUAAACCUGUUUUUUGCUUUGUCAUCAUGGGGUUUUGUGAUGUCAUUAUGGGGUAUUGUGAUGUCAUUAUGGGGUAUUGUGUGUAGAUUGAUGAGGAUUUGUAUUUAUUUACUCCAUUUUAGAAUAAGGUUGUAACGUUACAAAAUGUGGAAAAAGUCAAG
This 1224-nucleotide long non-coding RNA is filed under the name Salmo salar (Atlantic salmon). RNAcentral describes it as "lncRNA (ENSSSAG00000087218.1)". Lineage: Eukaryota; Metazoa; Chordata; Actinopteri; Salmoniformes; Salmonidae. The record is from RNAcentral.